Molecule: long non-coding RNA, 1420 nt
Organism: Aplysia californica (California sea hare)
Lineage: Eukaryota; Metazoa; Mollusca; Gastropoda; Aplysiida; Aplysiidae
Exons: 2
Source: RefSeq, a predicted model, not a curated record
UUUCUAUUGGAGAAAUGAAAAGGAAAAUAAAAAUUAUGUUAAGAAAGGGGCUCUAUUAUUUUUGGUGCGAUUUGAGGGAAAACACUAAUAUUGUUUUUGUGGUGCACUUUUUAAACCUUUUUCAAACGAGAGUAUCGCUCUCCGCUUCCGUGUCAACCAACAUCUUCACAGCCAGGCAUAAAUUCAGUGUGAAAUUCACCUUCUGCAUCUUUGUCGAUUCACAAGUAAUAGCGACUUUUGGGACUGAGAUCCCUGUGACGGAGCUUCGUUCAUCAAGGACAUCAGCGCUUUACUCUUCAGACUUAUUACAAUGGCAAACUGUGGAUGGCUAUGGAGCAUCAUUUGGUUCAUCAUUCUCAUUAUCUUUGGCUGGCCUAUAGGAUUUCUGUGUGCUAUUUUCUUUGUUAUUCUGAGCCCUUGCUCAGCCUGUUGUGCAGGUUGUAAUGAACUUAUAAAUCUGUUAGAACGGGGUGUCAAAUUACCGCUGACAUGUGCCCAGAACAUGGUGUCAGGAAAGUCUAUGUGUUAAACAACAGCAGGUGUUUUCAUUAUAAUUUAUGUGUAGCCUGUUUAAUUUAGGAUGAGGUAAAAAUUGCAUUUACGUUAAGUCAUAUCUUCUUUAGGGUAAUCAUAUUUUCUUAAACCCCUCCAUUUCUUCUUUCCAAUAUGUAUGAAUGCUUUUGUGUCUUUGACUGAGCUGCUAUGUCCAUGUUUAUGUUUCAACCAUUUAUAACCAGCAAUGAUUUUCCUCAGUUGAAACUCGCCAGAUAUGUAGAAUGUACUACACGUGUGCCUGUAAUGUGAAGUGAGCCCAUGUGAGAAAGACACAUAUAUAGCCUUUUAGCGUUCUUUUAGUUACUUUUCUUAUUAACACUGUGGAUCUUUUCUUAGAAUCAACGACAUGAUUUUUUCAAUUUGAUCUUUAAUACAUUUUCUUGUAUUCAUAUUAAUUUAGAACGCUGUGUUCCUCAAAGGGUGACGAAGUCAAAGCGGUGCUUUAACGAAUUUACAAUGAUAUUCUUCUGAAAAAUUCUAAUCAUACCUGUAUGGAGGGAUGGGUGACUCUGCAAACUAAAGGUUGAUUUUGCCAUAAUUUUUUUUUACCUUGUAGAAAAGUGUCUUACAAAGUACAGGAGUAUCAACCUGUUGGGAAUGCUACUUAUAUAAUUCAAACUCAUUGAGACUGUGCUGGUGAAAAACAUCAGGCAAGUUUACUCAAAUAAUGUUUAACUUUAAUUAUUUCUAAGCUGAAUUCAACUUGAAGACUGAGCUGAUAUUGAAAUUAACUUUUUUAACUGUUAAGGGUUUUUUUUUAUCCAUGUAUCAAAAGUAAUUUCACCACACAUGCGUUCUGGUAAUGCAAAAAAAAAAAAAUCACAAACUUUCAUUGUGCCUUAAAAUUCAUAUCCUAACCGAAAAA